RNAcentral lists this ribosomal RNA (433 nucleotides) under uncultured bacterium. RNAcentral describes it as "partial 16S ribosomal RNA". It matches the Rfam family "Bacterial small subunit ribosomal RNA", at positions 29 to 507 of the family's 1533-position model. The record is from RNAcentral.
AACGAACGCUGGCGGCAUGCCUAACACAUGCAAGUCGAACGAGAACUUCGGGUCUAGUGGCGCACGGGUGCGUACCGCGUGGGAACCUGCCCUUAGGUUCGGAAUAACUCCCCGAAAGGGGUGCUAAUACCGGAUAAUGUCUUCGGACCAAAGAUUUAUCGCCUUUGGAUGGGCCCGCGUUGGAUUAGCUAGUUGGUAGGGUAAAAGCCUACCAAGGCGACGAUCCAUAGCUGGUCUGAGAGGAUGAUCAGCCACACUGGGACUGAGACACGGCCCAGACUCCUACGGGAGGCAGCAGUGGGGAAUAUUGGACAAUGGGCGAAAGCCUGAGCCAGCAAUGCCGCGUGAGUGGUGAAGGCCUGAGGGUUGUAAAGCUCUUUUACCCGGGAGGAUAAUGACAGUACCGGGAGAAUAAGCUCCGGCUAACUCCGUG